UGGGGAAUAUUGCACAAUGGAGGGAACUCUGAUGCAGCGACGCCGCGUGAGUGAAGAAGGUCUUCGGAUCGUAAAACUCUGUCCUUGGUGAAGAUAAUGACGGUAACCAAGGAGGAAGCCCCGGCUAACUACGUGCCAGCAGCCGCGGUAAUACAUAGGGGGCUAGCGCGGUCCGGAUUUACUGGGCGUAAAGGGUGAGUAGGCGGUUAUGUAUGUCAGAUGUAAAAGGCGCGGGCUUAACUUGCGUUAGGCAUUGAAACUGCAUAACUUGAGCUCAGGAGAGCGUUGCCGGAAUUCCUAGGCCAGCGGUGAAAUGCGUAGAUAUUAGGAGGAACACCGGUGGCGAAGGCGGCUUACUGGACUGUAACUGACGCUGAGUCACGAAAGCGUGGGUAGCAAACAGGAUUAGAUAGGUCUGGUAGUCCACGCUGUAAACGAUGAGUGCUAGCAGCUGGGUAGCGAUACUCAGUGCCGGAGUAAACACAAUAAGCACUCCGCCUGGGGAGCAGGGUCGCAAGACUGUCGCUCCAAAGGAAUUGACGGGGAGU
RNAcentral lists this ribosomal RNA (548 nucleotides) under uncultured bacterium. RNAcentral's name for it is "bacterial SSU rRNA". It matches the Rfam family "Bacterial small subunit ribosomal RNA", at positions 355 to 921 of the family's 1533-position model. The record is from RNAcentral.